AAACAGCUCACAUCCACUUGCACACAAGCUGGCUGGCAGGACGCCAUGUGCGACACACAGGCGAGUGUGGACAGCGGCGGUGGCAGCAGCAGCAGCAUCCCUGACCGACUCUUUCACAUCUUCAUCGCCACUCUGUCCCCCGACAAGGCCACGCGGCAAUCCGCCGAGGACGCGCUUGCUCAGUUGGCCGAUAAGGACCCACAUUUCGUUCUUCAUCUCUUGGAGCUCGCUUGCCAUUCACCCACAGUGUGCGCGCAUACGUUUGGAAGAGGGCUGCCGGCGACGGCGAGCGCGCUUCUGGCGAGCGCCAUUCGGUUUCGCAAUGAAAUUGGCCGCAGCGACUGGAAUCGAAACCCGCGCUGCUCUGAUGAGGUGAGACAGCGUGUGCGCGACCACGUUGUGUCGCUGCAGUGCCAGCCCCACGUGUCGGAGGCGGUGCGGCGGCAGCUACUGACGGCGACGAUUGAGGUGGUGAAUGCCGACUACCCCGAGCGGUGGCCCGAUCUGCUGCCGCAGCUGACGGGGCUCGUGAGUCAGAGCAUGACGGCGCUGCGUGGGCUCUUCGACUGCAACGCGAGCAGCUGCCAGGAAAUCGACGGAGACGUCAUCCACAUGAUGCUGCUGCAGCUGAAGGGCUCCCUGGGCGUACUGCGGGGGUGCUGUAAGAUCUACGUGGACCCGUUGAAGGUGGACGCCGACGAGGUGGACGUCUUCGCUGGCCACCUUUCUCCGUUGCUCCUGUCCCUGAUGGAGCUGUUGUCGGGGCGGUGGCAGCACGAGCUGACGGCGCUGGCGGGCCACGGUGCCGCGACCGCGACCUCUGGUCCUUCCUUGGCUGCGCUGUUUUGCUUCUCGGCGGAACUGGAGGAGCUGGCGCACUGCAUGCGACUUUCCCUAAAGUGCAUCUUUUCUCUCUUUGAAAGCCGCUGGCCCGCAUGCUUGUGCGAGGUGUCGGCCCUCGACUACCUCUACGCCUCCUGCGUGGUGACGCCGAUUCAAGUCUUUCAGCAGGCCGCUUUGCCGCUCUGCCGAGCAAGGCUGGCGCACGCGCUGCACCACCCGGCCGAAACAGGCAUGACGGUCACGCAGCUUCGCGGUGAUCACUUCUCCAACUUCCAGCAGUCCGCCAUGUUUACACUACUCAAGUGGGUCAUGAACAUCGCCCACAAGCUCACUCAGGAGUUUGCGUCGCCGAAGAGCUGCGAGCGACGCUGCCGCACCGUGGCGAAGCACUUCACCGCACAGUACCUGCAGCCCACCGUCGAGGCCGCCCUGGCGCUUGUGCGGUGGCACGCCGGCCCACCGCUCGCCCUAACCUCGAAAGCGUACAUCCUCGCACUCGAGGUGCUGACGCUCGCAGUCCAGCACAAGGCUGUGUACGCGAGCGUACUGCACCCCAGUGCCGAGGAGCUCAUGACGGUGCUUCUCUUCCCACGCCUCGCCUUCACGGACGAGGACGAGGAGCUGUGGUCCGACAACCCGGAGGAGUACGUGCGCAAGCAAGCGAACCCCGCCGGCGACAUCUACAGCGCCAAGGUAGUGUCGACGAACCUCCUCAUGUCCCUUGCCGCCGGUACGAAGAAGUUCCACGACAAGAGCCUCUUCCUCUCUCUCAUGAACUUCUUGCUGAACCAGCUUCAGGCCUACGUCGGUGCGGCUGCGCAGGCGACGAGCGAUGACGCUCACCUCAGCACCCCCGCCAUGGAGGCGGCGCGCCGCGUCGAUGCCUCACUCUACUGCUUUUACCACUUCAAGAAGAUCCUGCUAGCGAUGCGCUUUGGUGACGACAAGCUCGAGUACGUCCUGUCGACCUUCACGGUGCCAGUGACGCAGUACUCGCUGGGAUUCCUGCGCGCACGCGCGGUGCUGGUUCUCAGCACGUUUGCACCGUCGCUCGAGUGGAGCAGUCCGCUGGCGUACCAGCAGGCCCUUCAGCCAGUGCUGUGUCUGCUUAACGACAGCGAGGCGCCAGUGCGUGUGCAGGCCUGCGUGUGCUUUUCGCGCCUCGUCUGUCAUCCCUUCGCGCGCGACGUCAUCAACCCCUGCAUUGCCGAGCUCAUCCAGCACUACUUCAACGUGAUGCGGAUGAUAGACAACGAGGCGGUGGUGCGCACGCUCCGCAAGACCAUCUCGUUCUACAAGAACACGCUGUCGCAAUGGGCACUGGAGCUGACGGAGAUGCUGGUGAGCCACUUUGCCGUCGUGCUGGAGCGUGUAACGGCCAAGUACAACGCGCUGGAGUCGAUGACGUCGUCAACGGCGCAGACGACGGGUGGAGGUGACAAAGCCGAGCUGUUCCUCGACAAUGACGGCUUUGCCGAUGUGCUGAUGACUGCCGACGAACUGCUGGAGACUCUCACCACGCUUGUUAAGGCGCUUCCGGAGAGCACGGCUACUGUGGCCGCACGCCACGCUGCCGCUGACUUAUUGGCAAAGGCCUCUGGCGCAUCGUCCUCCUCGCCGUCUGCGGCGGCCCCGUGCCCGUCAACGGAGGCGCUCCAGCAGGACAUCUUCGUGCAAAUCCAGCUGCGCGUAGCCCCGAUGUUAUUUGUGAUCCUCGGCCACCAAGGCGGCAGCUCCUACGGUUUCAUGGAUCCUGCCCUGUCCCUCCUCACCACCCUCAUCGCGCGCAGUCCAGCCAUCGCGCCGCCCAUGUGGAAGGUCCUGUGGUGCCUCUAUCAGCUGAUCAUCCGAGGCGGCGCUGUCGACUAUAUCCAGCAGCUACUUCCCCCGAUCGACAACUUCGUCUCUGUCGAGCCGGCCUCCUUUCUGUACGGCACACUGGCGGAGCUGACGCGCGAGCCGCUGCCGGCAGCCGUGCCAGCGGAGGAGGCGGCCCAAACGCCGGCGCAGCUGGUCUUAGCCAUGUGCGAGGCGGUGCUGGCGAGCACGUCGCUGCGGGAGCGCGAAGUGGCCGCAGUGCCGAAAGUGUUGGACGUGAUUGUGCAGUGCAGCUGGGCAGCCUCGGCGGCGGCGGCAUCGACCUUCGCAUUUGCGGAGGCGGCACAUGCCUUGGUGCAGUACGUGACGCAGCUGUCCUUGAAGAUCGCCGGCACACGGCCACAGCAGAGCGCGACGUUUCGCGUGUUGCUCGCCAACAACAUCUUCUCCUGCCUUAUCGCUGAUGCGCCUGCUGCCGUGGCGGUGCUGCAUGGGCUGCAGGUGACACGCCCGUUUCUGGAGCAGUACGUGUCGUUGCUGGCGCGGAGCGUGUCGAUUGAGGGUAGCGAGGAGGCGAUGCUGGGCCUCAUGCGGGGCUAUGACCGCAGUCUCUUCGUGUACGCCAUGGUUUCGUGUCUGCGUGCGCUUGCGGCAAACACGAUUGACGCCGGCGCGGCAGAGCUGCGGUCUGGCCUGGAGGGUGCCGUGCAGUGCGGUGUGCUGCAGCAGCUGGCUGAGAUGGAGACGACCAACGGCACGGCGGAGCUGCGCGUUCAUCAGCGACGCAUUGCAAUGCUGUCGGGGAAGCCGGUGCCGACAGCACAUGCCAGCGAAGGCGCCUCCGCGGAGGAGGCGGAAGACGACGAGGAGGAGUGGGACAGCGAGGCCAGCAGCGAAGAGGACGACGACGGCGAAUGGCUGCAGGAUGACGACGACGGCGGCGAGUGGGGUGAGGUCGAUGCCGACAGCGACAGCGCGGAAGGCUUUCUGGGUGGCGAGGGCGCCGGCCACGGACCGAGUCGAGACAGCCGCUUUCAGGGUAUGCUGCGCCAGGCUCAGGCGCUUCGUGAGACACCGCAGCAGAGUCACCGUAAAGAGGCCGUCGACGACGCCGACGACGCCGACCUGGAUGACUUUGAGGAGAACCUGCUCGACGACGAGGACUUCUCGAGCCCAGUGGACGGCAUCAAUGCAUGGGCAGCCCUGGUCUCGGAGGUGGAGCGGACCGACGUGGCGGCGGGUGGCAGUGCCUCUGUGGUGGCGCUGCUGCGCAGCGCCGCUGGCCAGGCGCAGGCCAGCGCUAUUGUCCGCGCACGUGACCUCACGUGUGAGCUACAGGUGGCCCGGCAAACCCAUCGCGCACUCCUCGAUCAAGUGAGGCACUGAAGAACACGGGAGGUGCCUCUGAGGAGAACACCGCUAUGACGUCUCUCUGCGCAUGUGCGCGCGUCCCUGCACUUGUCUCCCCAGCGCCUCCUACGCCGGCCGCAGCGAAAUGUGAGCACACCCGCUACCGCACUCACGAGGAUUGUAACGACGACGUGGCGGUGGUGGUGGUGGCGGGUGGCGGGCACGAGGAGAGAGGAGCUGGCGGUUGCUGUGGUAGCUGGCAACGCAGAGAGACAGAGCGAGUACGAGAGAUGGGGAGGGGAUGAUGAUGAGGGUCUUGCCAGCGAGACGAUCCUGUGCUGGCACACACACACACACACACACACACACACACACACACAAGCACGUACGCACGUACACGUGGCACACUCAUUCCAUUCAACUUGAAACUGGUGGACGCAACGGUGCGCUUACUUGUAUGCGUUUGUGCGUGCGUGUGUGUGCCCAGGCGACGUCACCGCUUCCUAUGCCGAGGAAUUGGAGGAGGAGGAGGGCGGACGGACAGCGAGAGCAGCGGUGCACCCGUUUCUAAGCCCCGAUACUCCGCCCCCGAUCCGCCUCUUCCUUUUCCCUAUAACACACGCACACACGCACGCUGAACUUUUCACUAACUCACACGUCUCGAUUGUCUGCGCGUCACACGCAGCGAAACACU
RNAcentral lists this unclassified non-coding RNA (4705 nucleotides) under Leishmania donovani. RNAcentral describes it as "gene:LdHU3.13.0720(CDS-product:hypothetical_prote in_conserved)". Lineage: Eukaryota; Euglenozoa; Kinetoplastea; Trypanosomatida; Trypanosomatidae. The record is from RNAcentral.